Molecule: ribosomal RNA, 532 nt
Filed under: uncultured bacterium
Lineage: Bacteria
Description: bacterial SSU rRNA
Rfam family: Bacterial small subunit ribosomal RNA
Source: RNAcentral
CCUACGGGAGGCAGCAGUGAGGAAUAUUGGGCAAUGGGGGGAACCCUGACCCAGCAACGCCGCGUGGAGGAAGAAGGCUUUUGGGUCGUAAACUCCUUUUGAUGGGGAAGAGGAAGGACGGUACCCGUCGAAUAAGUCACGGCUAACUACGUGCCAGCAGCCGCGGUAAUACGUAGGUGACAAGCGUUAUCCGGAUUUACUGGGCGUAAAGGGCAUGCAGGCGGCUUGACAAGUCUGACGUGAAAUUUCCCGGCUUAACUGGGAGGGGUCGUUGGAAACUGUUGAGCUUGAGGCGACGAGAGGGGUGUAGAAUUCCCGGUGUAGUGGUGGAAUGCGUAGAUAUCGGGAGGAAUACCAGUGGCGAAGGCGGCACCCUGGCGUUGGCCUGACGCUCAUGUGCGAAAGCGUGGGGAGCGAACGGGAUUAGAUACCCCGGUAGUCCACGCUGUAAACGAUGAGUACUAGGUGUUGGGCGAGUGAAAUCACUCUGUGCCGAAGCAAACGCGCUAAGUACUCCGCCUGGGGAGUACGG